Small nucleolar RNA from Aegilops tauschii subsp. strangulata, 106 nucleotides. The record is from RefSeq and is a predicted model, not a curated record. NCBI's taxonomy places the organism in Eukaryota, Viridiplantae, Streptophyta, Magnoliopsida, Poales, Poaceae.
AAACCAUGAUGAGGACACAUUCUAAUUAAGAGUUGAAUCUUUGCCAUGCGUCAUACAAACUUUCUCCAUCAUAUUAAGUAAACCUUGUUAACUUGUCCCUGUAUUC